ACACACACACACACACACGUGUGACUGAAUUUUUAGUAACUGCACAUUAAAUGAAACUUAUCUUCCAAUAGACUAGGGGAUGCAGAAGUCAUUACUUUGUAAAUAUACAAAUUCAACUAUUAUAUGUGAUAAUAUCUAAUGUUCUCUUCUAAAUGCCCCCUUUCAUAGUAUGCCAAAGACAGAACGCCAUAACACAUUGUCUUGCAG
Molecule: unclassified non-coding RNA, 207 nt
Filed under: Hevea brasiliensis (rubber tree)
Lineage: Eukaryota; Viridiplantae; Streptophyta; Magnoliopsida; Malpighiales; Euphorbiaceae
Source: RNAcentral